CUGUUCCCCUCUUUUCCCCAGUGGUUUGCUCCAAUUUCUCAGAACAGCAUCCUUGCCACUAAACCUCAAGAUUGGCCUGUUCCUGUCUCACAAAUUAUUAGGCCCUCUAUACUUUUUACCCUUACCUCUAGUUAUCUAGCUAGUAACCUAGAGUGGUUUGAUGGUGUCUUGCACUAAAGCAUCCCCACUCAGUUCCCUGUACAUGGCAGUGGUUUGUUCCUAUCUGCUGAGCAUCAGCAUCUUUCCCCUCCUUUCUCACAGGAAUGAUUAGAUACUGCGUCAUUGAGCAUCAGGCAUUUAGCCCCUCCCCCGGGGUCCACAGUGGUUUGAUCCUACCUCAUGGACUAUUAGGUUCUUUCUGAUUCCCCCUCCAGCGUCACCAUUACUAAUGGUAUGGUCCUUAGCAUCAGGUCUUUUUUUGUCCCCCACUGGUCUUCUGAGCACAUUGACGCAGCCUCAUCUCAUUCCUGAUGCAUCCUGAGCCUCUCAGUGCCUUGCUCCUGCGUAAGCGCUGUAAACUGGACCAAAUGGGUUGAAAAUGGCCAGAAAUUGAUCUUGAUCACUUUAGAUAUUUUAUGAAAAAUAAAAAAAAAUAAUUUCUGUCCAGUUAAAAUCCAUUUGAGCCAGUUUAAGCUAAUUGUGCAGAGCUGGAGGCUGAGGUCGGCAAACCCAGGAAGAUGGCUGAAGACUAUGCUGACUCAAGCCACUCAUGGAGCCAGAUUUCUUGGAUUCCAGAUUCAACUCCUUCUUUGACCCUGGACCUGUGCUGACUGGAAGCCUCGAGAUGAGAUGAGAAAAUCGAGGCUCAGAAAAGUCCCAUGACUUGUCCAAGGCCAUGAAGCUAGUUCACAGAGAGGCACAGAAUCAGCUAUGGAAGCACUUGAGAGAAUACCAAUACCAUUUUGUGGCCUGGAGAGAUCGGCACCCUCACUAUUUUUGUCCCUGCUAGCCAUCAGCCUCUGGCUUCCCUGUUAUCCUGUUGCCCCCACAGAAUGCAGCUACUACGUGGCUUAAGAGCCAGCACCUCCAUGAAGUGGUGAAGAGGAAAGGCCAUUUGAGGACACAGUGAGAAGAUGAUGAUUAUCUACAAGCCAGGAAAAGAAGCUUCUUCAGAAACCAAUCCUGCCACACUGAGUUUGGGUUUUCAGCCUCUACAACUGCUCAACAAAGUUGGUCAGAAAAAAAAGUUUCCAUCACUGGCUAAGAAAUAAGUCCUUCACCUUCAUGCUUUUUCCAGGUACAUCUACUUUGAUAAUGUAAGAAGCCACUCCUUGCUCAUGCCUUCAAAGUCUCUCUGCUCUGGUUAUGAGCUUGGCCUUUAAAUGCUAUAUGUUAUAGCUUCUUCUAUUAAAAAAAACAUAUACCUUCUUAUUUUUCCAAACUACAGCUGUCUUUGUUACAUAAUUAUUUUUUCCACUGUCAUGACAGCUUUGAUCAUGAGAGCAGAACAUUCCUUGCUGUUUGGGAUUUAGGAAUCCUUUGAACUCCAUCCCUGUCCAGACAUGCCUAUUUUUGUCACAUUCUAGUUUUGUUUUCCUCACUUUCUGCAUGUAUAGUUACUUUGUCAAGUAAACAAUGUGCCUAAAUGUAGUAUUUCUCCAGCUACAUUUGCUGUCAGUGUGAAUAAAAUCUGUUAUAGUGACCACAGGAUGUUUCCUCUUUCCUCUAUGGCCACUUCUUCUCUUACCACUAAAGAUUUUUCUGAUUGUGUGUCUUAUGUGACCAUAGCAGUUCUUUGGUAUUUGUAUUGUGAUAAUAUCUCAUCAGUCAGUAUGAUCUUGAACUCACUAUCCUCCUAUAGUGCUAGCUAGCAGCUCUUUGGUAUGUGUAUCUCAGCUUUACAGUACCCACAUAGUUAAUAAAUCUCUAUAGCAAUAUGAAUUAAUAGAUUGCUAUCUUGCAUACCCGCUUUUUGGGACAAAAGCAGCUAAAAUCCACUUAUUAACGAAAACCCUAAAAACAAUAUGGUCUGAUUAACUAUAGUACUCAUGCUGCCAUGCAUUAGGUCUCUAUCCUUGUUCCUGCUACACACCUGCUACUUCAGGGUUCCUUUAGAACAGUUCCUUCACAGAGCCAAGUGUCAUUCCAUCCUGGCACCUCCCACAUUUCCAGCUUUAACCAUAGCUUGACAGUAUAUAGAGGAACAAAUAAAGAAUAUGCUAAUUGGUACAAAGUUCUAGGCAAGGACAGCCAAGUAGAUGAGCCCAGUUUGUUCUCUUCCGGUACAGUUUUGCAUUUCUAUCUAUGCCUAUUUAUAUAUAUGUAUUCCAUUUUCAUGCUGUAUGUUUUGGCUUUUUACUCUGUCCAACCUGAGAAGGAGACUACAAGUGUAGCAUGGAGAGCAUAUUAUAAUUAAGGUAAGACAAUGGCCAAUUCAUGAACUAUUUUCUAAAAGGUGAAUAGAUCAAAGAAGCAACCAUUGAAACCCUCCCUAAAACAUCAGGAACUCAUUAGAGUACAAUGAGGCUUUCUAUGGACAAAGCCAAUUUCUGUCUAGGAUAGGGGAUCUGGGGAAGUAUAUCUCUACUCAGUCCCUUCAUCAGACCAAACAUACAAAGAAAACUCAGGCUUGUAACUUAUAAAAAGUCACUUGUGGUUGAAAUGCUCUUUUCAGAUGAAUACAAUGAAUGCUGGGCUUGGUGGUAUACUCCUCUAAUCCUAGCACUAAAAGGACCAAAGCAAUGGGAUUACAGCCCACUCUGGGUUGCAUGAUAAGAACCUGUUUUAAAGUGACUAAUAUGUAUUACUUUUACUCAUACAUGUUUUUCUUUCUUUGGAAUAUUCCUGGGUUUCUGAACUCCAUUUGGCUCAACAUCAUGUCUUCUUAUCAACUGAGGAACACCUUUGGACAUUUGUAUCUGAAUUUUCUUCAGGCUUGGUCUUUGGUACUCCUUAUGUAGACAUCUACACCAUAAUUACCGGUGUUUUUAACCAGAAAAACCACCCAUUAACUCUAUCAAGAGGAACAUCCAGUCAACAUGCCACCACAUCCCAAAAACCUGCCGAGGAACUUGUCACAAGCUCAAGUCCCAAGAUCAUCUGGAUAUCAAGAAUCACUUCUUUAUAUUUCCACAAAUGCUAGUUUGACUGUGCUUGUAGUCCAUGAUACUUGGGAGGCUGAGGUGGGAGAAUUACUUGAGUCAAAUAACCGAGUUUACCAUCCUGAACAACAUAGUGUGACCCCAUCUCAAAUCAAACCCAACCUAACACCAGAAAAGAAAUUCACAGACUUUCUAGGGAGCUUGCUGAGGAAAAACGAUUGUAUUGUUAAAUGUUAAGGGAUACUGCCUUUACUAUUUUAUAUUGAUGGUAUUUUACUAUUUAAGAUACAAAAAUAUUUAUUAUGAAUAACACACAUUCUUGAGUGAACUUUUGGAAUGGGUGAGAUACUUAUAUGUAUAUAUGUGAUGAGUUAAUAUUUGUGGCAUUUUAGACUGUGUUAUUUGUAGUAUACUGAUGCUGCAUUGUACAUGUUUUCAUUAAGUUAUGUAAGAUUGGUAGAUUGGAAUUUACAAAUACAAUGGUGAAUUAAAAGCAACUUCUGAGCCAGUAGAUUAAAAAUAUUAUGACAAAAACCUAAUAAAUGCUACUUAUAUACAAGAAAGACUAAAAAACAUAAAAGGCAAAGUCUGAAUUUCUCUACAAUGCAGGAGCCAGGUCCACCAGAAAUCAGUUGUGGUAUUCCUCCCAGUGACUGAUAUCAGCUGUAGCUGUCAGCCAUGUGUUCUCAUACCAUGAAAGCCCAGAAGAGAAGGCCUGGGCUAUGUAAAUACAACCAGAUGGAUAAAAUUACAUAUGUAAAAUAGGCUGUGAGUAGUAAAAAUGUGAUUUGAAAAUCUGAAGAUCAUUACACAUUAAUAAAGGGCAUAAUUUAUCAAGAAGAUUAGAAUAUUAACAUUCAUACACCAACUAUCAGGUACAAUCAGUGGGAGAUUUCAAUACUCUCAUCUUACGGCACAUAUUUCAAACUAAAAACCAACAAACAGUGUAAGUAAAUAAAACCAUAGAGCAUUUUUUCACUAGUUGAUGUAGCAACUACAUUUUCCCUCCCUCCUCUUCUUCUGCUCCCUCCCCUACCCCUUUCCCAUCCACUUCUCCUCAGUCUCCACUCAGAUGGCUUAAGGCUUCCCAUGGGAGUCAUCAAAGCAUGACACAUCAAGCUGAGGCAGGACUAAGCUCCUCCCUGCUCCAUCAAGGCUGAACAAGGCAUCCCACCAUAGGGAAUAGGUUCCAAAGAGACAGGUCCUGGUCCCUCUGCUAGGAGUCCCACAAAAGAUCAACUGUCACCCAGAUGCAGAGGCCUAAGUCAUUCCCAUGCCACAUCCCUAGCUGUGAGAUCCAGAGUCUGUGAGAUCCCACAAACUCAGGUCAGCUGUCUCAAGCAAUUGCAUUUAACAAAUACAUACAACGUAUUCCAUCCAACUAAUAGGGAAUGCACAUUAUUCUCAGUAGUACAUGGGGCUUUCUCUAAAACUAUUCACAUUAUAGGACACAAAGCAAAAAAAAUAGAAUUACUUACAUUUUAUCAGAUAAUAGAAGAAUAAAAGCCACACAAAUACUUAGUACUAAGCAAUACAUUUUUGAAUGAACAGCCGAUUAUUGAGGGAAUCGAGGAAAGUUUUUAAAAUCCUACAAACAAAAUUUUAAAGUUAUGUAAUCUAGCAAUUCCAUUUGUGGGUAUUCACUUAGGAAGAUUGAAAAGAGGUUAUACAAGAGAAAUCUGCAUAUCUUUAGUCAUAGAAGCUUUCAUUCACAAUAAUAAGAAAGUAGAAAUAACUCAAGCAUCAUCAGUGGAAGAAUAGAUAAAUGUGGCAUAAAUAUGUAAUAGAAUCUUAUUUAUACUUUCAAAGAGAGGACCAACUUGUAGAUGCUACAAUGUAGAUAAACUUUGUGGAUAAACUUUGCAGAUACUGUGGUAAAGGAAAUAAGCCAACCACAAAAAGUACAAAUGCAACAUUAUUUCAGUAAGAUGAAUGUUCAAAGUAGUCAAAUUCAUAGAAAAAGUAUUAAUAUAAUGGUGAUUACCAGGGUCAUUGUCUUAGUCAGUGUUCUAUUGCUGUGAAGACACACAAUGACCAUGGAAACUCUCAUAAAGAAAAGCAUUCAACUAGGGCUGGCUUGCAGUUUCAGAGGUUUAGUCCAUUAGCAUAAUGGUGGGAAAUAUGCCAAGAAGCAUGCAGCAUGACAGCAUGAAGGCAGAUAUGGUGCUGAAGAGAUGCUGAGGGUUCUACAUCUGGAUCCAAAGGCAGCAGUAAGAGAGACAGAGACACUAGGCCUGGCUUGGGCCCUUGAAAACCUAAAGCCCAGCCCCCAGUGACAGGCUUCCUCCAACAAGGCCACACCUACUCCAACAAGAAAUGACUAUUCAUUCAACAUAGGGCAUUACAUAUAAACUAAAAGCCUGACUACACCUAAGUUCAGCUUGGUGUAUCAGUGGAUUUAUUGGAGUUACUUAUUGGAACAUGGGUGAUUGGGCAGCUACAUUAUCAAAAAAGUCCAAUCCCAAACUGAGUGUCAACUGCAUGGGUGAUUUUGGCAGCCGAUUCACUGAACAAUCAACUCCAGCAUGUGUGACCACUCAAGAUGCUGCAUAACUAGAGUUUUGCCUUUAGUCAUCUUUCGCCUUCCUAUAUUCUUUACAACUUCCCAAGACCACAUAUAGGUGAGAGGUUAAGAGGUUAAGGUGUGGUGACCUUCCUUCUAAGAGUUAAUGUUAACAAUCCAAUUAUAACUGUUAUUAAUGUAGCUAUUAAUGUGUUAUUUUGCUUAUUUUAUUACUAUGGAAUUACUGUGGAAUUAAGGCAUUCUAUAGGUCAUCACAACAAUCUAGGCUUCAUGAUGGUGAUGGUCAUGAUAUGCUUGUAGAAAACAGUUAUACCAUACACAUGUCCUGUAUUGAGAUAUAAUUGACAAAUAAAAGUUGUAUAUAUUUACUGUAUUGUUCAAUUUUUUCCAUAAUACUAGGGUUGGAACCCAGGGCUUCACCAAUGCUAAGCAAUUAGCCUGCCACUGAAUCACAGCCAGACCUU
RNAcentral lists this long non-coding RNA (6029 nucleotides) under Cricetulus griseus (Chinese hamster). RNAcentral's name for it is "lncRNA (ENSCGRG00015039105.1)". The record is from RNAcentral. Lineage: Eukaryota; Metazoa; Chordata; Mammalia; Rodentia; Cricetidae.